GAUGAACCCUGGCGGCGUGCCUAACACAUGCAAGUCGAACGAGGUAAAUGAGAUGAAGUAUUCGGAUGGAUUCUUAUUUACCGAGUGGCGGACGGGUGAGUAACGCGUGGGUAACCUGCCUCAUAACGGGGGAUAACGAUGGGAAACGAUUGCUAAUACCGCAUAAGAGCACAUUACCACAUGGUACCGUGUGAAAAACUCCGGUGGUAUGAGAUGGACCCGCGUGUGAUUAGCUAGGUGGUGAGGUAACGGCCCACCAAGGCAACGAUCAGUAGCCGACCUGAGAGGGUGACCGGCCACAUUGGGACUGAGACACGGCCCAGACUCCUACGGGAGGCAGCAGUGGGGGAUAUUGCACAAUGGAGGAAACUCUGAUGCAGCGACGCCGCGUGAGUGAAGAAGUAUUUCGGUAUGUAAAGCUCUAUCAGCAGGGAAGAAAAUGACGGUACCUGACUAAGAAGCCCCGGCUAACUACGUGCCAGCCGCCGCGGUAA
RNAcentral lists this ribosomal RNA (494 nucleotides) under uncultured bacterium. RNAcentral's name for it is "partial 16S ribosomal RNA". It matches the Rfam family "Bacterial small subunit ribosomal RNA", at positions 28 to 523 of the family's 1533-position model. The record is from RNAcentral.